CCUCACUUCAUCUUGCUCCAUCUGCCUGUUUUAACCUUGGGAAAGCUUUGUUUUUUUACACUUCAACAACUUGAUCACAUUGAGUGCCGUGUCUUCAAUAAACGGACGUACAAGUGCACGUUGACAACCAACUUUACGCUCCUUCGUCAUUGAAGCCAUCUAGUGCUACUUUCAGUCAAGUUAAUCAAGAGUGUUUAGCUAUCUGGCGAUGUGUGCCUCGCUAUGCGCGCAGGUGCCAGAAUACAGACGCCGAGCUGACAUUCUUUCUGUUUUCACCUGCACCAGCCUUCGGUUUUUGAUCUCUGGACCCAAUCCCCGUUACCCUGCCUGCCCGUAAGCCCCCACCUCUCGCACCUCUCGGACCUUAGUUCAAGUUCUCUGCCUGACUGCGACUGCCCUCUACGACCGUGCUCUGACCGACACUAAUAAACAUCCUUAACUGCU
This is a long non-coding RNA of Micropterus dolomieu (smallmouth bass), 444 nucleotides long. RefSeq lists it as uncharacterized. The transcript has 3 exons. Lineage: Eukaryota; Metazoa; Chordata; Actinopteri; Centrarchiformes; Centrarchidae. The record is from RefSeq and is a predicted model, not a curated record.